Molecule: transfer RNA, 72 nt
Filed under: Crassvirales sp.
Lineage: Duplodnaviria; Heunggongvirae; Uroviricota; Caudoviricetes; Crassvirales
Description: tRNA-Trp
Rfam family: tRNA
About the family: Transfer RNA (tRNA) molecules are approximately 80 nucleotides in length.
Source: RNAcentral
AGGUAGAUAGUUUAAUGGUAAAACCCUAGUCUCCAAAACUAGAAGAUGUGAGUUCGAGUCUUACUCUAUCUG